AGCGAACGUUUGCGGCGGGCUUAACACAUGCAAGUCGAACGGGCUGUUCCUUCGGGGGCAGUCAGUGGCGCACGGGUGCGUAACACGUAGGUAAUCAACCCUCUGGUUGGGGAUAACACUUCGAAAGGAGUGCUAAUACCCGGUAUGGCGCAGCGGUCUUCGGAUCGCGGCGAGAAAGACCCGCAAGGGUUGCCAGAGGACGAGCCUGCGGCCCAUCAGCUAGUUGGCGAGGUAACGGCUCACCAAGGCGAAGACGGGUAGCUGGUCUGAGAGGAGUGAUCAGCCACACCUGGAACUGAGACACGGUCCAGACUCCUACGGGAGGCAGCAGUGGGGAAUAUUGCGCAAUGGGCGAAAGCCUGACGCAGCCACGCCGCGUGAGCGAUGAAGGCCUU
Molecule: ribosomal RNA, 395 nt
Filed under: uncultured bacterium
Lineage: Bacteria
Description: bacterial SSU rRNA
Rfam family: Bacterial small subunit ribosomal RNA
Source: RNAcentral